UACGAAGGGGGCUAGCGUUGCUCGGAAUCACUGGGCGUAAAGGGCGCGUAGGCGGCGUUUUAAGUCGGGGGUGAAAGCCUGUGGCUCAACCUCGGAACUGCCUUUGAUACUGGGGAUCUUGAGUCCGGAAGAGGUGAGUGGAACUGCGAGUGUAGAGGUGAAAUUCGUAGAUAUUCGCAAGAACACCAGUGGCGAAGGCGGCUCACUGGACCGUUGUUGACGCUGAGGUGCGAAAGCGUGGGGAGCAAACAGG
Molecule: ribosomal RNA, 253 nt
Filed under: uncultured bacterium
Lineage: Bacteria
Description: partial 16S ribosomal RNA
Rfam family: Bacterial small subunit ribosomal RNA
Source: RNAcentral